GACGAACGCUGGCGGCGUGCUUAACACAUGCAAGUCGAACGGAAAGGCCCUGCUUUUGUGGGGUGCUCGAGUGGCGAACGGGUGAGUAACACGUGAGUAACCUGCCCUUGACUUUGGGAUAACUCCAGGAAACUGGGGCUAAUACCGGAUAGGAGCUCCUGCUGCAUGGUGGGGGUUGGAAAGUUUCGGCGGUUGGGGAUGGACUCGCGGCUUAUCAGCUUGUUGGUGAGGUAGUGGCUUACCAAGGCUUUGACGGGUAGCCGGCCUGAGAGGGUGACCGGGCACAUUGGGACUGAGAUACGGCCCAGACUCCUACGGGAGGCAGCAGUGGGGAAUAUUGCACAAUGGGCGGAAGCCUGAUGCAGCAACGCCGCGUGCGGGAUGACGGCCUUCGGGUUGUAAACCGCUUUCGCCUGUGACGAAGCGUGAGUGACGGUAAUGGGUAAAGAAGCACCGGCUAACUACGUG
This 468-nucleotide ribosomal RNA is filed under the name uncultured bacterium. RNAcentral describes it as "partial 16S ribosomal RNA". It matches the Rfam family "Bacterial small subunit ribosomal RNA", at positions 28 to 507 of the family's 1533-position model. The record is from RNAcentral.